RNAcentral lists this ribosomal RNA (525 nucleotides) under uncultured bacterium. Its description in RNAcentral is "bacterial SSU rRNA". It matches the Rfam family "Bacterial small subunit ribosomal RNA", at positions 8 to 518 of the family's 1533-position model. The record is from RNAcentral.
AGAGUUUGAUUCUGGCUCAGAGUGAACGCUGGCGGUAGGCCUAACACAUGCAAGUCGAACGGCAGCACAGUAAGAGCUUGCUCUUACGGGUGGCGAGUGGCGGACGGGUGAGGAAUACAUCGGAAUCUACUUUUUCGUGGGGGAUAACGUAGGGAAACUUACGCUAAUACCGCAUACGACCUACGGGUGAAAGCAGGGGAUCUUCGGACCUUGCGCGAUUGAAUGAGCCGAUGUCGGAUUAGCUGGUUGGUGGGGUAACGGCCUACCAAGGCGACGAUCGGUAGCCGGUCUGAGAGGAUGAACGGCCACAUUGGGACUGAGACACGGCCCAGACUCCUACGGGAGGCAGCAGUGGGGAAUCUUCCGCAAUGGGCGCAAGCCUGACGGAGCAACGCCGCCGUGAGUGAGGAAGUUCUUCGGAACGUAAAGCUCUGUUGUUCCUGACGAACCUCCCCUUUAUCAACAACGGAGGGGACUGACGGUAGGGAACGAGGAAGCCACGGCUAACUACGUGCCAGCCGCUGC